This 466-nucleotide unclassified non-coding RNA is filed under the name Hevea brasiliensis (rubber tree). The record is from RNAcentral. Lineage: Eukaryota; Viridiplantae; Streptophyta; Magnoliopsida; Malpighiales; Euphorbiaceae.
GCUAUAAAGGUUCCUAGGAUAGCAAAUGUGACAAUGGCUCCAAAAUUAGAAAAGAAAGGUUUAGGUGAUAAACUGAACCCAGACUCAAAUAUAAUAGGAGGGAGCAGAAACAGGAAGAAAAACUCCUCAUGGAAAUUAAACCAAGCCCUGAUGCUUGUUUCUGUAUCUGAAAUGUUAGCGAGUCCACCAACAAUUAGACCAAUAAGAAGAGAAGCACUGGCUUCGGGCAGAUAAUAGAAUUUGUAACGGCGAAGAACGUGACCAAGGAUGAAGGAAAGAACAAGCAUCAUGAUCUGAAGGAGUAUGCCCACUCCGGCCGCUUGUUGGUCCUUUCCUGGAUGUGAAUCACUCGGAGAAAUUUGGAGUUCCUCCAUACCAAUCGUGCUCAUUUUGUCUUCUUCUUUGUUAGACCACAACACAGACACAAGGAGUUUCAGGAAUCCCUGUUAUUCAGUAAUGAGAAAAC